UGCAUGGCUGAAAAGUAUACAGCAGAAAUUGUGCCAUUGAACGCUGAGAAGAUUGGCAGCGCAGCGCACGGUGCCGCGACGUUCACGAUUGAUGGUGCGCAAAUGAAGAUUCAUAUCGAUAUGUUUGAUACACCUGCUAAUGUGCAGCAUUGGGAACAUUUCCACGGAUUCCCGGAUGGUAAGCCAGCAGAAAUCGCCACAGCGGCACAAGAUGCUAAUGGUGACGGUUUCGUUGAUCUGCCAGAAACAGAACCGGUUUCCGGUACAACGAUGGUGCCAUUUGACGCUGAACCGGCCAAGAUGCAUGUGCCAAAUGACAGUUACCCAGUGGCUGAUGCAGAAGGUCACUAUGCUUAUGACAAACUCGUUGAUCUAAAGGAAUUGCAGACAGCGUUUAAAGCCGCUUUUGGCAGUGACGAUUUGCAGCUUGAUAAAAGGGUCAUUUAUAUUCAUGGUGUGCCGGAUACCUUGAAGCUACCGGCUACUGUUCAAGGAACUGUCAUGAACUACGAUGCCCACGUUACUUUACCAAUUGCAGUUGGGAAAAUCAUCAAAGCUUAAACUAAUUAGUUGAAUAAAUAACCUAUAAGUAGUCUUGGAACUUACUGGCAAUACGCCGGCUGUUUCAAGGCUAUUUUUGGGUUUGAGGACCUUAUUUACCUAUAAAUAGAGCUUUUUACAUUAUAUGUACAGAUUAAUACCUAUAAUGUCAAUAAGUAUGCACUGUUAAAAAUAUUUGUUAAAUAACGAACAUUAUCAUUCCUUUGCGCGGGGUCAACUUGUUAAGCUGGUGUUGGAAGAAGAGAGACGCCGGAAACAAUGGAAGGAGGCGCACAGAUGCCUAAGAAGUUGAUCCAUAUCGUCAUGUUGGCGAUGUUGAUGCUGACCCAGGUCGGCAGCGCCGUUGUCCCUGUAGCCGACAACGGUGAGACAAACAUCACCGAACAUGACCGUGCGGCGCCAAAAUCCGAUCCAUCCUCACACCAGAACGAUGCGAGCGGACAAGCGGCAAUUAGCCAAGACACAAUUGAGUCUGACAAGAAACA
Molecule: ribosomal RNA, 1046 nt
Filed under: Lacticaseibacillus paracasei subsp. paracasei ATCC 25302 = DSM 5622 = JCM 8130
Lineage: Bacteria; Bacillati; Bacillota; Bacilli; Lactobacillales; Lactobacillaceae
Description: Lactobacillus paracasei subsp. paracasei ATCC 25302 23S ribosomal RNA
Source: RNAcentral